AGAGUUUGAUCCUGGCUCAGAUUGAACGCUGGCGACAGGCCUAACACAUGCAAGUCGAACGGUAACGGAAAGCAGCUUGCUGCUUUGCUGACGAGUGGCGGACGGGUGAGUAAUGUCUGGGAAACUGCCUGAUGGAGGGGGAUAACUACUGGAAACGGUAGCUAAUACCGCAUAACGUCGCAAGACCAAAGAGGGGGACCUUCGGGCCUCUUGCCAUCGGAUGUGCCCAGAUGGGAUUAGCUAGUAGGUGGGGUAACGGCUCACCUAGGCGACGAUCCCUAGCUGGUCUGAGAGGAUGACCAGCCACACUGGAACUGAGACACGGUCCAGACUCCUACGGGAGGCAGCAGUGGGGAAUAUUGCACAAUGGGCGCAAGCCUGAUGCAGCCAUGCCGCGUGUAUGAAGAAGGCCUUCGGGUUGUAAAGUACUUUCAGCGGGGAGGAAGGGAGUAAAGUUAAUACCUUUGCUCAUUGACGUUACCCGCAGAAGAAGCACCGGCUAACUCCGUGCCAGCAGCCGCGGUAAUACGGAGGGUGCAAGCGUUAAUCGGAAUUACUGGGCGUAAAGCGCACGCAGGCGGUUUGUUAAGUCAGAUGUGAAAUCCCCGGGCUCAACCUGGGAACUGCAUCUGAUACUGGCAAGCUUGAGUCUCGUAGAGGGGGGUAGAAUUCCAGGUGUAGCGGUGAAAUGCGUAGAGAUCUGGAGGAAUACCGGUGGCGAAGGCGGCCCCCUGGACGAAGACUGACGCUCAGGUGCGAAAGCGUGGGGAGCAAACAGAAUUAGAUACCCUGGUAGUCCACGCCGUAAACGAUGUCGACUUGGAGGUUGUGCCCCAUGAGGCGUGGGUUUCCGGAGAUAACGCGUGAAGUCGACCCGCCCUGGGGGAGGACGGCCGCAAAGGUUAAAACUCCAAAUGAAUUGACGGGGGCCCGCACAAGCGGUGGAGCAUGUGGUUUAAUUCGAUGCAACGCGAAGAACCUUACCUGGUCUUGACAUCCACAGAACUUUCCAGAGAUGGAUUGGUGCCUUCGGGAACUGUAAGACAGGUGCUGCAUGGCUGUCGUCAGCUCGUGUUGUGAAAUGUUGGGUUAAGUCCCGCAACGAGCGCAACCCUUAUCCUUUGUUGCCAGCGGUCCGGCCGGGAACUCAAAGGAGACUGCCAGUGAUAAACUGGAGGAAGGUGGGGAUGACGUCAAGUCAUCAUGGCCCUUACGACCAGGGCUACACACGUGCUACAAUGGCGCAUACAAAGAGAAGCGACCUCGCGAGAGCAAGCGGACCUCAUAAAGUGCGUCGUAGUCCGGAUUGGAGUCUGCAACUCGACUCCAUGAAGUCGGAAUCGCUAGUAAUCGUGGAUCAGAAUGCCACGGUGAAUACGUUCCCGGGCCUUGUACUCACCGCCCGUCA
RNAcentral lists this ribosomal RNA (1408 nucleotides) under uncultured bacterium. RNAcentral describes it as "bacterial SSU rRNA". It matches the Rfam family "Bacterial small subunit ribosomal RNA". The record is from RNAcentral.